RNAcentral lists this ribosomal RNA (450 nucleotides) under uncultured Glomus. RNAcentral describes it as "SSU rRNA". It matches the Rfam family "Eukaryotic small subunit ribosomal RNA", at positions 569 to 1024 of the family's 1831-position model. The record is from RNAcentral. Lineage: Eukaryota; Fungi; Glomeromycota; Glomeromycetes; Glomerales; Glomeraceae.
AGCAGCCGCGGUAAUUCCAGCUCCGAUAGCGUAUAUUAAAGUUGUUGCAGUUAAAAAGCUCGUAGUUGAAUUUCGGGAUCAAAUUGUUGGUCGUGCCUCGGUACGCACUGGUAUUAUUGGUUCCUACCUUCUGAAGAACCGCGAUGUCAUUAAUUUGGUGUCGUGGGGAAUCAGGACUGUUACUUUGAAAAAAUUAGAGCGUUUAGAGCAGGCUUACGCUUGAAUACAUUAGCAUGGAAUAAUGAAAUAGGACGUUUGAUUCUAUUUUGUUGGUUUCUAGGAUUGACGUAAUGAUUAAUAGGGAUAGUUGGGGGCAUUAGUAUUCAAUUGUCAGAGGUGAAAUUCUUGGAUUUAUUGAAGACUAACUACUGCGAAAGCAUUUGCCAAGGAUGUUUUCAUUAAUCAAGAACGAAAGUUAGGGGAUCGAAGACGAUCAGAUACCGUCGUAGU